This 468-nucleotide ribosomal RNA is filed under the name uncultured bacterium. Its description in RNAcentral is "partial 16S ribosomal RNA". It matches the Rfam family "Bacterial small subunit ribosomal RNA", at positions 28 to 507 of the family's 1533-position model. The record is from RNAcentral.
GACGAACGCUGGCGGCGUGCUUAAUACAUGCAAGUCGAACGGACAGGCCCUGCUUUUGUGGGGUGCUCGUGUGGCGCACGGGUGAGUAACACGCGAGUAAACUGCCCUUGACUUUGGGAUAUAUUCAGGAAACAGGGGCUAAUAUCGCAUAUGAGCUCCUGCUGCAUGGUGGUGGUUGGAAAGUUUCGGCGUUUGGGGAUGGUCUCGCGGCUUAUCAGCUUGUUGGUGGGGUAGUGGCUUACCAAGGCUUUGACGGGUAGCCGGCCUGAGAGCGUGACCGGCCACAUUGGGACUGAGGUACGGCCCAGACUGCUACGGGCCGCAGCAGUGGGGAAUAUUGCAGAAUGGGCGGAAGCCUGAUGCAACAACGCCGCGUGCGGGAUGACGUGCUUCGAGUUGUAAACCACUUUCUCCUGUGACGAGGCGGGAUUGACGGUAAUGGGUAAAGAAGCACCGGCUAACUACGUG